This 640-nucleotide ribosomal RNA is filed under the name Drosophila bocqueti. RNAcentral's name for it is "eukaryotic LSU rRNA". It matches the Rfam family "Eukaryotic large subunit ribosomal RNA", at positions 132 to 645 of the family's 3401-position model. The record is from RNAcentral. Lineage: Eukaryota; Metazoa; Arthropoda; Insecta; Diptera; Drosophilidae.
GCAAAUGUGAGAUGCAGUGUAUGGAGCGUCSAUAUUCUAGUAUGAGAAAUUAAUGAUUUAAGUCCUUCUUAAAUGAGGCCAUUUACCCAUAGAGGGUGCCAGGCCCGUAUAACGUUAAUGAUUACUAGAUGAUGUUUCCAAAGAGUCGUGUUGCUUGAUAGUGCAGCACUAAGUGGGUGGUAAACUCCAUCUAAAACUAAAUAUAACCAUGAGACCGAUAGUAAACAAGUACCGUGAGGGAAAGUUGAAAAGAACUCUGAAUAGAGAGUUAAACAGUACGUGAAACUGCUUAGAGGUUAAGCCCGAUGAACCUGAAUAUCCGUUAUGGAAAAUUCAUCAUUAGAAUUGUAAUAUUUAAAUAAUAUUAUGAUAAUAGUGUGCAUUUUUUCCAUAUAAGGACAUUGUAAUCUAUUAGCAUAACAUGAUUUAUCAUAAAAUAUGGCUUAUAGUUUAUUCAAAUUAUUAUGCUUGCAUUUUAACAUAGAAUAAAUGUCAUUAAUUUGAUAAAGUGCUGAUAGAUUUAUAUGACUACAGUGCGUUAAUUUUUCGGAAUUAUAUAAUGGCAUAAUUAUCAUUGAUUUUUGUGUUUAUUAUAUGCACUUGUACGAUUAACAAUGCGAAAGAUUCAGGAUACCUUCGG